AUUGAUUUUUUUCUUCUUUCAGAGCAUGACGUAGCAUAUCCUACAGUGAAAGUUUUCUACCCUUCUGGAGAGGAAUGCAGAGAUUAUUACAGGACGAAGAAGAGGACCCUGCUCUGCGUUGCCUCUGAUUUCUACCCAGAUCAUGUCAGCGUGUCCUGGAAGCGCAAUGGAAGGGAAAUCACUAAUGGUGUGGCGACUGACCCUGCAGCCAAGAAAGAUGGAGAGAAAUACAAAAUCUCCAGCAGGCUGAAGAUCCCUCUGGAGGACUGGGUUGAUCCAAAUAAUGAAUAUACCUGCAUCGUCAAAUUCUAUAAUGGAACUCAUCACCUUCCUUACAGUGAUACCAUUACAGUUCGUCCUAAUGAGAUAGCCAUCACUCGAGGGUAUUACAUGAGGGUCACCCAGAACGCCAAAGUGUCCUACACCGUCCUGAUCGUGAAGAGCUGCGUCUACGGAGCCUUCGUCUGCUUCCUGGUGUGGAAGCUUCAGGGAAAACGUGGAAAGCAGAGAAAGUGAGAGCUCAACUGAAGCUUUAACUCUUCCUCCCUGUACAUAAUAAACCUGAUCUGAUGUUAUUCUAUAAAGCCCUUUCAUUUUACAUAACAGAUCUAAUGAGUGGUAUACAAAAAACAUUUUUUAUUAUUUCAGAUACUUUCUAAGUAAAUGCUUGUUUCUCUCUAUGUGCUGUUUAAUAAAAUUGUUUUACACACUUUUG
Non-coding RNA from Cyprinodon variegatus (sheepshead minnow), 715 nucleotides. The record is from the annotation of a RefSeq genome assembly. NCBI's taxonomy places the organism in Eukaryota, Metazoa, Chordata, Actinopteri, Cyprinodontiformes, Cyprinodontidae.